Non-coding RNA from Etheostoma spectabile (orangethroat darter), 82 nucleotides. Lineage: Eukaryota; Metazoa; Chordata; Actinopteri; Perciformes; Percidae. The record is from the annotation of a RefSeq genome assembly.
GUUGUUGUGGCCGAGUGGUUAAGGCGAUGGACUAAAAAUGCAUUGGGGUCUCCCCUCGCAGGUUCAAAUCCUGCUGACAGCA